UUUGUUUGGAAUAAAAUAUUAUUUGUUUUGAAUAAAAGAUUCAUAAUUGGAACUAAAAUUAUACCUAAGGUAAUAAAAGGGGCAAUUACUUAUAUACCUCUGAAAAAUUCUCGAAUUUCUGAUUUACCUAUUUUUAUUAAGGGAUAAUUACGUAUCAAAUUCGAGAAUUUUUCUGAUUUACCCAUUUUGAGGGUUGUAUAGGUAAUUAUCCUGAAUUAUUGAAAAUAUGAAUAAAAAAUUUAUACUUUUUAUUUUUAAAUAUAAAUUAUCUUAUAUUUUAUAUUUUAUACCGAAUCCAUUUUUUAAGCCGAAUUUUUCAACGAAUUUAAAAAUUAGAAAAUAAAUUUUAUGCGUAUUAUAUCUGUACCGAAUUUUUGUGGAAUCUGAAUUAACUAACUAUGCUCAAGAGGCGGUAAACAAUUUUUUG
RNAcentral lists this long non-coding RNA (427 nucleotides) under Ananas comosus (pineapple). RNAcentral's name for it is "long non-coding RNA (ACOM_LNC034400)". The record is from RNAcentral. Lineage: Eukaryota; Viridiplantae; Streptophyta; Magnoliopsida; Poales; Bromeliaceae.